This 253-nucleotide ribosomal RNA is filed under the name uncultured bacterium. Its description in RNAcentral is "partial 16S ribosomal RNA". It matches the Rfam family "Bacterial small subunit ribosomal RNA", at positions 524 to 776 of the family's 1533-position model. The record is from RNAcentral.
UACAGAGGUCUCAAGCGUUGUUCGGAAUCACUGGGCGUAAAGGGUGCGUAGGUGGCUUGGUAAGUCAGAUGUGAAAGCCCGGGGCUCAACCCCGGAAUUGCAUCCGAUACUGCCGUGCUAGAGUACGGAAGAGGUGACUAGAAUUCUCGGUGUAGCAGUGAAAUGCGUAGAUAUCGAGAGGAAUACCAACGGCGAAGGCAGGUCACUGGGCAGUUACUGACACUGAGGCACGAAGGCCAGGGGAGCAAACGGG